Astyanax mexicanus (Mexican tetra) is the source of this 1129-nucleotide long non-coding RNA. RefSeq lists it as uncharacterized. NCBI's taxonomy places the organism in Eukaryota, Metazoa, Chordata, Actinopteri, Characiformes, Acestrorhamphidae. The record is from RefSeq and is a predicted model, not a curated record. The transcript is spliced from 2 exons.
GGAUUAGGAGACUUCAGCCAGAUCUGAACUGAGCCCAGCAGGAGAGGAGCCAGAAGAACCAGACUCAGCAUCAUCUCAGCAUCAUCUCAGCAUAUUCUCAGCAUCUUCUCAGCAUCUUCUCAGCAUCUUCUCAGCAUCUUCUGAGCAUCAACCAAGAGCACUAAAGGCCUGCAGCAUUAACUUUUGCUCAAGAGCAACACAAAUCUGCUUUAUUUCAUUUUGAAAUCAAGAGAAAACUUCACCUCAGCAUCAAACAUGCCUGCCUACACCCUGGACAUCGCUCCUCAGGACAACAUCCAGUUCGCCAGGUGUAAACUCCACAGUUUGGAGAGGAAAUGCUUCAGCAAAGUGGAGAAACUGAAGCUGACCCUUGAAGAACACCUGCAAAAUGGAAUCCCUGCUUCAGAUCUUCUGGAGAAGACAGUUUCCUUCUUCGCCAUGAAGAAGGCGGUGGUGUUCCCCGGCGGAUACUCGAGGUGUACCCGGGACGUUCUCCGAAUGUGCCCCUCCCCGACAGAAGACGUGGAGCCGUUGUUUUGUCAGGAGUGAGGUGGAGAGAGAUGAGGUUGAUGAGGAUGAGGUUUGGGACGAGCUUUUAAUAAGACUUUUGAAAAGAACUACCUCAGAUUUUCCUCUGAACUUCCUCUGAACUGUUUUGAAUGGCACCUUGCUGGCACUUUUUUUACUACAGACAUUUCUAGACAAGAACCGAGAGCUGGAACUGGAUGGAAAUAUGGUCCACAUACAGUAUGUACAUGUACUUGUACAGUCUUGUGGACACGCUGCAGUAUACCUGAGGAUGCGCUUUAUGCAUUCGUUUUAUAAUGUUUUAUAAUAAUAGAAAUUAUUUGUUUUUCCUCUCAUUGAGAGAAGCUUUUAAUUGAGAUAUUGUAUAGAAAUGAUGAUGAUGAUGAUGAUGAUGAUGAUGAACCACGUCGAUGAGCAGGAUGUCUGCUGGAGGACAUGAUAGCUCACUGUAAAAGCAUGUUAAAUUAACCUUUAAAGAUACAAUGUAUCAUUUGAAUAGACUCGAUUUUGUUGAUUUUUGUUUUGAAUCAGAUGAAAAAAAGUUUAAUGUGUGACGCAUGCAUUUCUUUUUAUGAAAUAAAUUUUAUUUCACAUGUAUUCA